This 255-nucleotide ribosomal RNA is filed under the name uncultured bacterium. Its description in RNAcentral is "partial 16S ribosomal RNA". It matches the Rfam family "Bacterial small subunit ribosomal RNA", at positions 524 to 776 of the family's 1533-position model. The record is from RNAcentral.
UACGUAGGGUGCGAGCGUUGUCCGGAAUUACUGGGCGUAAAGAGCUCGUAGGUGGUUUGUCGCGUUGUCCGUGAAAAACUCACAACUCAAUUGUGGGCGUGCGGGCGAUACGGGCAGACUGGAGUACUGCAGGGGAGACUGGAAUUCCUGGUGUAGCGGUGAAAUGCGCAGAUAUCAGGAGGAACACCGGUGGCGAAGGCGGUUCUCUGGGCAUUACCUGACGCUGAGGAGCGAAAGUGUGGGGGAGCGAACAGG